CCUACGGGUGGCAGCAGUGAGGAAUAUUGGUCAAUGGACGAGAGCCUGAACCAGCCAAGUAGCGUGAAGGAUGACUGCCCUAUGGGUUGUAAACUUCUUUUAUAAAGGAAUAAAACGCGGCAUGUAUGCUUUUUUGCAUGUACUUUAUGAAUAAGGAUCGGCUAACUCCGUGCCAGCAGCCGCGGUAAUACGGAGGAUCCGAGCGUUAUCCGGAUUUAUUGGGUUUAAAGGGAGCGUAGGUGGGUUGUUAAGUCAGUUGUGAAAGUUUGCGGCUCAACCGUAAAAUUGCAAUUGAUACUGGCAGUCUUGAGUACAGUUGAGGUAGGCGGAAUUCGUGGUGUAGCGGUGAAAUGCUUAGAUAUCACGAAGAACCCCGAUUGCGAAGGCAGCUUACUAAACUGUAACUGACAUUGAUGCUCGAAAGUGUGGGUAUCAAACAGGAUUAGAUACCCUAGUAGUC
RNAcentral lists this ribosomal RNA (460 nucleotides) under uncultured bacterium. RNAcentral's name for it is "partial 16S ribosomal RNA". It matches the Rfam family "Bacterial small subunit ribosomal RNA", at positions 338 to 795 of the family's 1533-position model. The record is from RNAcentral.